CAUUAACUCUGGACUGAAAAUAGAAAAGCUGUUUGGGGAGCAGGAGGCAUGAGGGAAAGGAAGCAUUUAAAUCAUCCUUGAGAUAUGGUUUAAGGCCCUAAUUUGUGGGGAAUUCGGACUCUGGUUGCAGCAUAAUUGGUGUUGUCUUUCUUGUUCAAGUCAUGCCAGGCAAUGCUCUGUCUUCAGCAAGGAAAAUGAAACUCGCAGGUCACAACCUGUGUGAGAGGUUUGGUGAUACUGUCUCCAUGCUCUCUACUACACAGAAGCCAAAUCAAGGACUUAAGGCUGGUUUUGUGGAAUUGUUAUGCUGUCCUACAAAAAAGCAAACGAUUGAGAGUGGUGUCUAUGUGAUGGUUCUCAAAGCUCAACCAAGAGAAAAAUAGCCAUGCCUCUGAAGAUCUCUGAAACCAGAAGAGAUACAUUAAAAUAGCUGAAGAAUUUGGACUUCCUGGUAAUUUCUACUCUGUGAUUUACCAGUUCAGCACAGUAGAAUAUAGUGUAGAAUACAUUGCUAUAUUAUAAUCUACCCUUCCAGGAGACACAGAACUAGUACUUCACCAUGUUUAUCAGAUGAGUUACGGAUUCUGUUGGAAUAAAAGAUGAGUUCGUGUGUCUGCUGUACUGGUAGU
This is a long non-coding RNA of Corvus hawaiiensis (hawaiian crow), 629 nucleotides long. RefSeq lists it as uncharacterized. The record is from RefSeq and is a predicted model, not a curated record. NCBI's taxonomy places the organism in Eukaryota, Metazoa, Chordata, Aves, Passeriformes, Corvidae. The transcript is spliced from 3 exons.